Molecule: ribosomal RNA, 253 nt
Filed under: uncultured bacterium
Lineage: Bacteria
Description: partial 16S ribosomal RNA
Rfam family: Archaeal small subunit ribosomal RNA
Source: RNAcentral
UACCAGCACCCCGAGUGGUCUGGACGAUUAUUGGGCCUAAAGCAUCCGUAGCCGGUCCUGCAAGUCUUCCGUUAAAUCCAGCUGCUCAACAGAUGGGCUGCGGGGGAUACUACAGGGCUAGGAGGCGGGAGAGGCAAGCGGUACUUUAUGGGUAGGGGUAAAAUCCGUUGAUCCAUAGAAGACCACCAGUGGCGAAGGCGGCUUGCCAGAACGCGCUCGACGGUGAGGGAUGAAAGCUGGGGGAGCAAACCGG